RNAcentral lists this ribosomal RNA (440 nucleotides) under uncultured bacterium. RNAcentral describes it as "partial 16S ribosomal RNA". It matches the Rfam family "Bacterial small subunit ribosomal RNA", at positions 338 to 795 of the family's 1533-position model. The record is from RNAcentral.
CCUACGGGCGGCAGCAGUAGGGAAUAUUGCUCAAUGGGGGAAACCCUGAAGCAGCAACGCCGCGUGGAGGAUGAAGGCUUUCGGAUUGUAAACUUCUUUUGUUAGAGACGAUAAUGACGGUACCUAACGAAUAAGCACCGGCUAACUCCGUGCCAGCAGCCGCGGUAAUACGUAGGGUGCAAGCGUUAUUCGGAAUCACUGGGCGUAAAGAGCGCGUAGGCGGGAUAGUAAGUCAGAUGUGAAAUCCUAUGGCUUAACCAUAGAACUGCAUUUGAAACUGUUAUUCUUGAGUAUGGGAGAGGUAGGCGGAAUUCUUGGUGUAGGGGUGAAAUGCGUAGAGAUAAGGAGGAAUACUAGUGGCGAAGGCGACCUGCUGGAACAUAACUGACGCUGAGGCGCGAAAGCGUGGGGAGCAAACAGGAUUAGAUACCCUUGUAGUC